This is a long non-coding RNA of Pygocentrus nattereri (red-bellied piranha), 669 nucleotides long. RefSeq lists it as uncharacterized. NCBI's taxonomy places the organism in Eukaryota, Metazoa, Chordata, Actinopteri, Characiformes, Serrasalmidae. The transcript is spliced from 3 exons. The record is from RefSeq and is a predicted model, not a curated record.
UGCGGCCCACACGCAGGUUCAGACGCUCCACAAAACCAUCUUCCUCCAUCGCAUAGAUCUUGAAGAUGUUCCGCCCAGCCACCACCACCUGGAAGGCGAGAAAGGGGAGAGAGAGAGAAACUGAACAAACAGCUGUGAAGAGAGAAAAAAGGGAUAGGACAGCUGCACCUGCGUAGCAUCCCGGCAAACGCUGAUGGCAUUGGCCGGAGCGUCCAGGUGGCAGAACAUGGUUCGGCUGCUGACAGUGCUAACACAGGCCAUCUUCUCCAUCUCAGCCUGACAAAGAGAGAGAAGAAGGAAGAAUAAGAAAAGCAAUGGAAUAGAUAGGACAACCUUACAAUUCAUCUCCUGACCAAAAGGAGGAAACACAGGACAUUAUUUAUAGCUCACUGUCAGCAUCAAGUUUUUUUUUAUCCUCUUUAUACCCCCUCAGUAGGCCAUGUUUUGAGCACAGACAGCAAACCACAGGGCAUCAACUGCAUAAUUUCUGGAUGGCAGUCUUACACAAUGCAGCAAGCAAAGGUGGACAUCAUUCCUAAUGGAUUAAAGAUUGUAGAUGUUCAAAGCUGUGAGUGCCCUGAAGCUAUAUAUGGAGAUCAAGGGCUGCUAUUGGGUCAGUUACUUACAUGUCAGGUCAAAACCCACUUCUCCGAGAAACCUUGCACAGCA